Molecule: ribosomal RNA, 460 nt
Filed under: uncultured bacterium
Lineage: Bacteria
Description: partial 16S ribosomal RNA
Rfam family: Bacterial small subunit ribosomal RNA
Source: RNAcentral
CCUACGGGUGGCAGCAGUGAGGAAUAUUGGUCAAUGGACGCAAGUCUGAACCAGCCAUGCCGCGUGCAGGAUGACGGCUCUAUGAGUUGUAAACUGCUUUUGUACGAGGGUAAACCCCGAUACGUGUAUCUGGUUGAAAGUAUCGUACGAAUAAGGAUCGGCUAACUCCGUGCCAGCAGCCGCGGUAAUACGGAGGAUCCGAGCGUUAUCCGGAUUUAUUGGGUUUAAAGGGUGCGUAGGCGGUUUGAUAAGUUAGUGGUGAAAUGUUGGGGCUCAACCCCGAAAUUGCCACUAAUACUGUUGGUCUAGAGAAUAGUUGCGGUAGGCGGAAUGUAUGGUGUAGCGGUGAAAUGCUUAGAGAUCAUACAGAACACCGAUUGCGAAGGCAGCUUACCAAACUAUAUCUGACGUUGAGGCACGAAAGCGUGGGUAGCAAACAGGAUUAGAUACCCUAGUAGUC